RNAcentral lists this ribosomal RNA (275 nucleotides) under uncultured bacterium. RNAcentral's name for it is "partial 16S ribosomal RNA". It matches the Rfam family "Bacterial small subunit ribosomal RNA", at positions 399 to 691 of the family's 1533-position model. The record is from RNAcentral.
GCGUGGAUGAAGAAGGCCCUAGGGUUGUAAAAUCCUUUCGCUAGGGAUGAUAAUGACAGUACCUAGUAAAGAAGCCCCGGCUAAUUUCGUGCCAGCAGCCGCGGUAAUACGAAAGGGGCUAGCGUUGUUCGGAAUUACUGGGCGUAAAGCGCACGUAGGCGGCCUACCAAGUUAGGGGUGAAAUCCCGGGGCUUAACCCCGGAACUGCCUUUAAAACUGGUAAGCUAGAGGAUGUGAGAGGAGUGUGGAAUUCCGAGUGUAGAGGUGAAAUUCGU